Long non-coding RNA from Ornithodoros turicata, 533 nucleotides. RefSeq lists it as uncharacterized. Lineage: Eukaryota; Metazoa; Arthropoda; Arachnida; Ixodida; Argasidae. The transcript is spliced from 2 exons. The record is from RefSeq and is a predicted model, not a curated record.
UUAAGAAACAUUCCCGUUUGAUAACGGCGGCCUUGUAGAUGUCCCACGUGACGCGUGGUAUAAAUGUAGUAUGGUCCAGCAAUAUAAAUACCCCAUACAGCGGACCACGCAACAUACAUCGAAGGAUAUCUUCCUACGUCUAGUACUUCUCCUGCAGUGAGAUCCAGUCUUGAUUUCAACAUGAAGACAUUGUUGGCUCUGUUGGUCCUGCUGGUUGCCGUGUCAGCUACCAUGGCUGGAUUCCUCGGAUUAGGCGGAUUUGGACCGUUCGGCUACGGAGGCUAUGGCGGCUACGGUGGCUUCGGAGGGUAUGGAUACCGUCGUUUCUACGGAGGCUAUGGCGGAUAUGGAGGCUUCGGUGGAUUUGGCGGAUUGGGAGGCUUCUACGGCUGAGCUUCCCCGGAUUGAAGCUGGAGAAAGAAGCGAUUUGGCAACUGUGAUAUGAGACAAAAAUGUAAUGCAUGUGCACUUACGUAGAAUAUGGACGUACGUGCACAUCAGCAGACUGAAGCAAUAAAAAGAAGCGUUGUGGA